Molecule: transfer RNA, 83 nt
Rfam family: tRNA
About the family: Transfer RNA (tRNA) molecules are approximately 80 nucleotides in length. Their secondary structure includes four short double-helical elements and three loops (D, anti-codon, and T loops).
GCAGCGGUGGCGGAGUGGUCAAACGCACUAGCCUUGAGAGCUAGAGGAGCGAUCCUACGAGAGUUCGAAUCUCUCCCGCUGCG